Brassica napus (rape) is the source of this 3089-nucleotide long non-coding RNA. RefSeq lists it as uncharacterized. The transcript has 3 exons. NCBI's taxonomy places the organism in Eukaryota, Viridiplantae, Streptophyta, Magnoliopsida, Brassicales, Brassicaceae. The record is from RefSeq and is a predicted model, not a curated record.
UUAUUAUGACGUUGGUUUUCUUGCUCAGGUCUCAGAUUCUCUGUCCUUUUGCCCAUCAGAUCAACAAAGUUUCAUGUCUGAACUUGAUUCCCAGGUCUCUACUGCCUUCGACCCGUUUGCUGAUGCGAAUGCUGAGGACUCAGGUGCGGGAACAAAGGAGUACGUCCACAUUCGUGUGCAGCAGCGCAAUGGUAGGAAAAGCUUGACAAAGAAAGAGUAUAUUUACAGCAAUAUAGUUAAGGACCUCAAGAAAGAGUUUUGUUGCAACAGUACAUUGGUUCAUGACUCUGAACUCGGACAUGUUCAUGUUUAUUUUACAGCAAGAUACUUAAGGACCUCAAGAAAGAGUUUUGUUGCAACGGUACAUUGGUUGCAAACACAAUAAUUGCAUAUAAAUAGAUAUAUUAUCAAUUUAAAUAUCACUAGAAUAAAUUAUUUUCAUAUGUUCAGAAUUUAAUAUUAAAUCAACCAUACAGAAUUUUUUUUAUCAUAGCAAAAUUAUUUUUAUCACGUAAAAUACAGUUUAAAAGUACUCAUGCAUUUGAAAUAUUUAAUAAAAAUAAAUAAAUAUCAUUUUUUUACAUAUCACAAAGUUAUUUAUUAUAAUAAAAUUUUCCUUUAUCGUGUAAGAAUAUUAAAAACACUUAUGUAUAUAUAAAAUUAUAUACAAUAUAUAUAGAGAGAUAUAUCUCUUUUAUUUAAAAAUAAUAAUAAUGAUGUAAAAUAUUAUUUUUGGUAACACAAUAUAAAUUAUUUUUAUAAAAUGAUAAUUACCAAAUAAAAAAGCAUUUUAAUUUACGAUAAUAUAUUAACAAAUCUAAUUAUUUAUUUAAGAUAUGAAGACUUUAUAACACAAUAUAAAUUAUUUUUAGACAAUGAUAAUUAUAAAUCAAUAAAAUUUCUUUUUAAUUAAUUGUUAAUUAUAUACUAACAAAUAUAUUUAUUUAUUAAGGAUUAUAAAUAUUUUAGUGGCUUUAACUUUAAGUAUGAGAGUUCAGAGGCAAAAAAUCACUAUACAAAUUACAAUAUAGAGUAUUAAAAUAAAUAUAAAUUAAUUAAAUAAAUAAAAGUUUAACUAUACCAAACAAUCCGCGCGUAGCACAGAUAAAAGAUCUAAGAAGUCAACAAAUAAAGAACCGGUAUACAAGUCGGUGUUACUUUCUUUUAAAGACAAGUACAAAAAUAAAAUUUAAUAAUUUUAAAACCAAUCAAAAUUUAUACAGUACUAAUUAUAAGCUUUGCAAUUGUUUUACAUAAAAAUAAAUAACGAAGAUAAAGAAUAUAUAUAGAUCUUAACUUAUAAUUUAGUUAACUUUUUAUUAAUAUUACUAAUAUCCUAUAUAAAACUCCAAUAAACACACAACAAUUUAUUUCAAAUAUUUUUUAAAUUUGCAUUUAUGUUUAUAAUUCUAUAACAAGUUUCAGUGUAUAUCAUAUUUGUUCUAUUUUAAAAUAUAAAUAUAAAAUUAAACAAAUAUUAUAGGAAAAAAUCCGGGCGGAAAACCCCCUAGUCUAUAUUAUAAUCGGACAGUAAGCUGUCCACGUGUCCACCUUUGUGGAUCCCACCGAAAAUAUGUAUUUGGGUUUAAUGAAGAUUUUGUGUGUUUAUGGCCCAAAUAAGCCUCUUUGGUCUGUUAACUUCCUCUUCGAUGGAAAUCUAUCGCUUCAGCCUCCUCUGAAACACAAGUGAUCCUUUCAAUUUCCACGAAUCGAUGUAUCUUCUUCUAACCCUACUUCUCUUUACCAUGUUCAUCAUUAAAAGUUCUGAAUCGUUACACCUUUGUACUUCCUCCCUAUAUAUGCUUAUAUUAAAUUUUGGAACCCUGCAUCUCAAAUACACUCAUCGUUUAUCUCCCCGGCUAGGAUUAUAACAACUAGUCCAAAAUGAAGAUAGGAGGGUAGAAUCAUGUUGGAAGCGUAAAAUAUGAAGACGUAGAAUAGUGCCAUAGCUAGCGACGCAGGAUACCACUACCGCAGGCAUCGAGAUGUCUCCAUGGGAAGCCAUGUUCAGAAGAUAGUGAAGGAGAUGGUAAAGCUCCAACGAAAAAUUCACUGGCUAAACGUACAGUGAAUUUUUCAAUCAGUAGUUGCAGUCUAAAUCUGAACCAAGUCUUUCCAUAUUCUAGAUCUAGAAGUAUAUACUGUCAAAAUCAACCAGAUGAAAUAAUUUAGUGGAUGCAUGUCAAGUAGAUUUACGAGGCUACAAAGUGUUCACUGUACAUGGCAGGGAAAAAGUCUACUUAAGGUUCAGUUGUAAUACUGGUGGUGAUAUGGGCAUGAACAUGGUAACCAAAGGUGUGCAUACUGUUAUUGAGUACCUCACCUAUGAUUUCCCAUACAUGGAUGUGAUCGGAAUCUUUGGUAAGUUCCUUUGUGUAUGUUAUUGGUUUGAUAUGAUCGUAUUUAUAUAUAUAUAUUAUUAGACUGCAGUUUGUAAAACGAUUCGAGUGGAAGUUUAGUAAACUUAGUAACCACUCGAAACUGUUUUGAGCAUAUUAGUAAAAAGUGAAAACGAGUGUGGCUGUCUUGGUGGAGCUCAAUAUGCUCAAUAAAUUCUCACGCCAGCAACAUAGUGUUUGAUGAAUUCAUAGCUACUUGCCAAGAUCCAGCUCAAAACAUUGAGAGCUCACAAUGCAUCACAAUGAUGGUAGCCAUUAAUGGUAAAGAUAUACAUAUCUCUACUACCACACCAUCUAUUGAGUUUCGGGUUGGGACAGUGAGAUAAGGAACACAGUUUCCGUCUCAAUCGACUUGGUUAAACCUCCUAUGCGUUAAAGGAACGAGCAUGGAGCCGAUGGGGAUGAACUCAAGGACGGUAGCUAUGAUAGUGGCAUGAGCAGUUUUGGCCCGAGAGUUAUCUCUAAUAUCAGCAAUUGCAGCUGGGCAACUUAUAAGUAGUCACAUGAAAUACAAUAAGAUCCAUCAAAGACAUCUCUGGAACAACGACAUGGACGGCAACAAUGUUAUCUGAAUCUUACCUUUACAAAAAAUAUUGAGUGUUUCAACAUUGUGCAGAACACAUAGCGUUUUAGUCUGUACAUUAAUCUUUUCAAGAAGUUGGAGGGAGCAAGAGCAUGUAAGUUUAUACA